CCAGAGUAGCAGACAGUCCUUCCCCCAAAACACUUCCCAUCUGAAUAAGCAGGAUAGGCAGAGGGAAGGGGUUAAGGGGUAGCCAGAUGGAUGACUCCAGAAAGUGCUAGAAAAGAUAGAGAGGCAUCAGCCCUGAUAUGGCAACAGGCUCCUGGGAUCAGUGGCAAAGAGCCCUGCAGCAGUAGAAGACCAAGGAGGGUGUACAAAAGGGAAAAGAACCUGAGGUGCUGAUUCGAUUCCGCCCCUGGCAGUGAAAGAAAAGUGCCUGUUUACUUUAAUUACCGAGCCAGAAACCAACUGAUUUAUGCUGUGUAAAUCUGAGGGACAAACUGAAAGGUGCUACAGAUGCUGGAAGGAAUGAACCAUGGAGGGAAGACACUUUGGGUGCACAGCUUCAUUGGGUGAAUCAGGCUUAGGGGAGAGAAUCAAGCCCUGAACAUCUCCUGCUAUCCAGCGGAGCAUAUGGCAGGCGCGGCUGCAGUUGGGACCACUGAGGAGAAAGGUGUCUCGUUUCCCAUCCUAGUACCAGUCUCUCCAGAGCCUGCUUAGCUUGGAGCUCACCGCCCAAGGUGUCAGGCUAAAAUGAUAGCCAUGCACAGCCCCGGAGGCUCUAAACCUGCUCUCUGUGCUAGAGUUUGUGGUGGUGAAUCUAGGUCACCUUUGCUGGGUCUGUGCCACUGCCCUGCUUCUGGGGAAGGCCUGAGCAUGGAGUUAACCCUUCACUUGCCGAAAACAGAUAAUAAAACACCCACAGCAAAAGUGAGAGAACUGCUCUGCAGCUCCCUGAUCCUCUCUCUAAUUCCGCAUCUCCGCUCUGCUAGUGAUAACGUAAUGGCCUGCAGCAAAAUCGAGCCCUUCCACUCCAGAGAUCUGAUCUCUGCCAGUUGAGCUAAAAGAGGAAUUCUAUUAGCUGGUACCAGUAGUAGACUCUUAUCCUCUAAAAGCAUAGCCAGUAGAGAAGGAUUAGCACACGCGUUUCCAAUGUAUAACACAAGUUAAAGGCAUCUCAAAAUGACACAUUUCCCUUCAGCUCCUGAAAGGCAGAGUAGCCCCAGGCGCUCUGGACACUGAAAGCUAAAUUGACUUAUGCUUGAUUAAUUGGCUGCUAGACUUUAACUGAGGGCUGCAGUUCUGGCUCCCAUGGCCUGAGAUCUCUGCCUACUGUAGCUGUAAUACUAUUUUUCCCCCCAAAAGGACAAUUCAAAGGGGAGCUGCAGGGUGAAAGGAAUUAAAGAAGUGGGGAAGGAACCUCGCCACCUUUGAUUCAUUUUAAUGAAGGUGCUGAAAUAAAUAAAUAAAUACAAUUGCGGGAAAGAGAGAGAGAGAGAGAGAGAUGACUUUCCGCUGGGAUGA
This is a long non-coding RNA of Mauremys reevesii (Reeves's turtle), 1353 nucleotides long. RefSeq lists it as uncharacterized. The transcript is spliced from 3 exons. The record is from RefSeq and is a predicted model, not a curated record. NCBI's taxonomy places the organism in Eukaryota, Metazoa, Chordata, Testudines, Geoemydidae.